RNAcentral lists this long non-coding RNA (779 nucleotides) under Lotus japonicus. RNAcentral describes it as "long non-coding RNA (LJAP_LNC000177)". The record is from RNAcentral. Lineage: Eukaryota; Viridiplantae; Streptophyta; Magnoliopsida; Fabales; Fabaceae.
CUCAACCAUGGGAGACGGCGGAGUAGGAACUCGAUCAGUAGGCUCAACUGGAGCUGGAGCUGAAGCCUCUACCAUGGGCGACUGCAUAGAAUCAACUGGAGCUGGAGCUGAAGCCUCAACCGCGUGAGAGGUCGCAGCAUGAUCGCCGCGCCGGCUAGAAGCAUGUAAUCGCCGGUGUCUAUCCUCUGUAGGCCCCGCAUCCUCACUAGCUCGAGACCUCUUUCUGUUCUUCAUUCUCACUAUAUAUUCAGAGCAAACAUUUUCUAAAUAAAUUCACUGAAUAAAUUAUACUCGCUCAAUUACUAAAUUUCUCAAUUAAAUCUCUAAAUAAAAUCACUAAAUAAUUCACAAUGUUUAUAACUAAAUUAAAAACAUUUUAUAAAUUAACUAAGCUAAUUAGAUUAGGUUUUAUAAAUAAACUAAGCUAAUUAUAUUAAGUUUUAUAAAAACAUUUUAUAAAUUAAGUUUAUAACCCUAAACAGACACCAAAUACGGAACAUUAAGUUUCAUAUCCAAUACGGAACAUUAAGUUUCGUAUCCAAUACGGAACAUUAAGUUUCAUAUUGAAUACGGAACAUUAUGUUCCGUAUCGAACCAGAGAUCCAUUAACGACAUUGCAUGAAUGGAACUCGCCCCAAAGGCCAAUUUAUACACAAUUUCAGCCAACAUAACAUCUACUUAAGCAUAAAUCGACUACCCUAGGGUUGCAAGAUUCCAUAAUUCCAAGUUAAAUGGUGAAUUCAAGUUGAAAUCCAAACUUACUUACCUCUAGGUUCAAU